Sphaeramia orbicularis (orbiculate cardinalfish) is the source of this 89-nucleotide long non-coding RNA. RefSeq lists it as uncharacterized. The transcript is spliced from 3 exons. The record is from RefSeq and is a predicted model, not a curated record. NCBI's taxonomy places the organism in Eukaryota, Metazoa, Chordata, Actinopteri, Kurtiformes, Apogonidae.
GUACACACAAUAGAAAUCCAAUAAUGGACUGGAGCGUCCAAACCAGGGUUUACUGAUUACAGCAUUUCUUAAGUAUGUGUAAAUGCGUU